GCCCAACAGCUAGCCCACCUAAACAAUUUCAACAAACCCCUGUUAAUACCCCCUAAGUACCCCAGUAUUUAAAUUAAACAAACCAUUUUUCCCCCUUAGUAUAGGCGAUAGAAAAGGGGCUCCGGCGCAAUAGAGAAAGUACCGCAAGGGAAUGCUGAAAGAGAAGUGAAAUAACCCAGUGAAGCCUAAAAAAGCAGAGAUUCAAACUCGUACCUUUUGCAUCAUGAUUUAGCGAGUGUACCUCAAGCAAAGAGCACUUUAGUUUGACGUCCCGAAACUACGUGAGCUACUCCAAGACAGCCUAUCAAUAGGGCGUACCCGUCUCUGUGGCAAAAGAGUGGGGAGAGCUUUGAGUAGAGGUGACAAACCUACCGAACCUAGUUAUAGCUGGUUGUCCAAGAAAUGAAUAGAAGUUCAGCCUCUUGGCUUCUCUUUUCACCCUAGUCUAACCCCUAUUGAUGCAUUAAAGAAACCGAGAGAGUUAGUCAAAGGGGGUACAGCCCCUUUGAAUCAAGACACAACUUUACCAGGCGGGU
RNAcentral lists this ribosomal RNA (536 nucleotides) under Gymnocanthus tricuspis (Arctic staghorn sculpin). RNAcentral describes it as "partial 16S ribosomal RNA". It matches the Rfam family "Bacterial large subunit ribosomal RNA", at positions 157 to 1040 of the family's 2925-position model. The record is from RNAcentral. Lineage: Eukaryota; Metazoa; Chordata; Actinopteri; Perciformes; Cottidae.